Molecule: ribosomal RNA, 373 nt
Filed under: uncultured organism
Description: partial 16S ribosomal RNA
Rfam family: Bacterial small subunit ribosomal RNA
Source: RNAcentral
GUAGGUGGCAAGCGUUGUCCGGAAUUAUUGGGCGUAAAGCGCGCGCAGGCGGUCCUUUAAGUCUGAUGUGAAAGCCCACGGCUCAACCGUGGAGGGUCAUUGGAAACUGGGGGACUUGAGUACAGAAGAGGAAAGCGGAAUUCCAAGUGUAGCGGUGAAAUGCGUAGAGAUUUGGAGGAACACCAUUGGCGAAGGCGGCUUUCUGGUCUGUAACUGACGCUGAGGCGCGAAAGCGUGGGGAGCAAACAGGGAUUAGAUACCCUGGUAGUCCACGCCGUAAACGAUGAGUGCUAAGUGUUAGGGGGUUUCCCGCCCCUUAGUGCUGCAGCUAACGCAUUAAGCACUCCGCCUGGGGAGUACGGCCGCAAGGCUG